This 386-nucleotide ribosomal RNA is filed under the name uncultured Staphylococcus sp. RNAcentral's name for it is "bacterial SSU rRNA". It matches the Rfam family "Bacterial small subunit ribosomal RNA", at positions 70 to 446 of the family's 1533-position model. The record is from RNAcentral. Lineage: Bacteria; Bacillati; Bacillota; Bacilli; Caryophanales; Staphylococcaceae.
CAGACGAGGAGCUUGCUCCUCUGACGUUAGCGGCGGACGGGUGAGUAACACGUGGAUAACCUACCUAUAAGACUGGGAUAACUUCGGGAAACCGGAGCUAAUACCGGAUAAUAUAUUGAACCGCAUGGUUCAAUAGUGAAAGACGGUUUUGCUGUCACUUAUAGAUGGAUCCGCGCCGCAUUAGCUAGUUGGUAAGGUAACGGCUUACCAAGGCGACGAUGCGUAGCCGACCUGAGAGGGUGAUAGGCCACACUGGAACUGAGACACGGUCCAGACUCCUACGGGAGGCAGCAGUAGGGAAUCUUCCGCAAUGGGCGAAAGCCUGACGGAGCAACGCCGCGUGAGUGAUGAAGGUCUUCGGAUCGUAAAACUCUGUUAUUAGGGAA